RNAcentral lists this ribosomal RNA (547 nucleotides) under uncultured bacterium. RNAcentral describes it as "partial 16S ribosomal RNA". It matches the Rfam family "Bacterial small subunit ribosomal RNA", at positions 355 to 895 of the family's 1533-position model. The record is from RNAcentral.
UGGGGAAUUUUGGACAAUGGGCGAAAGCCUGAUCCAGCAAUGCCGCGUGUGUGAAGAAGGCCUUCGGGUUGUAAAGCACUUUUGUCCGGAAAGAAAUCCUUGGCUCUAAUACAGUCGGGGGAUGACGGUACCGGAAGAAUAAGCACCGGCUAACUACGUGCCAGCAGCCGCGGUAAUACGUAGGGUGCAAGCGUUAAUCGGAAUUACUGGGCGUAAAGCGUGCGCAGGCGGUUUGCUAAGACCGAUGUGAAAUCCCCGGGCUCAACCUGGGGACUGCAUUCGUGACUGCAAGGCUAGAGUAUGGCAGAGGGGGGUAGAAUUCCACGUGUAGCAGUGAAAUGCGUAGAGAUGUGGAGGAAUACCGAUGGCGAAGGCAGCCCCCUGGGCCAAUACUGACGCUCAUGCACGAAAGCGUGGGGAGCAAACAGGAUUAGAUACCCUGGUAGUCCACGCCCUAAACGAUGUCAACUAGUUGUUGGGGAUUCAUUUCCUUAGUAACGUAGCUAACGCGUGAAGUUGACCGCCUGGGGAGUACGGUCGCAAGAUU